This is a long non-coding RNA of Salvia splendens (bonfire salvia), 204 nucleotides long. RefSeq lists it as uncharacterized. NCBI's taxonomy places the organism in Eukaryota, Viridiplantae, Streptophyta, Magnoliopsida, Lamiales, Lamiaceae. The transcript is spliced from 3 exons. The record is from RefSeq and is a predicted model, not a curated record.
AUUCAUUCUGCCUAUUCUACACGUCCUCUGCAGCAAGAAAACCAAGCCUUCUUUUUCACAACUUCAAUUCAAGAAAACCAGAAUUAAAAUCGGGAAAAGAUUCAUCAUCUACUCUUUCAAAAUCCGUCUGCAAAUUGAAGGUGAUAUCUCGCAAGGGAAUCGUGAACGCAAAGGAAAGAAAAUAGUUUCGGAUUAAGCAAUCGA